CCUAUUCAAGGAAGUGGUAAAAUGGUACAGUUUAUGUUGUGUUCUCAAAGGGUUGAUAAUAUGACCUGGCUUCUUUCUUUUAAUUUUCUGAAAGAGU
Non-coding RNA from Ceratotherium simum simum (southern white rhinoceros), 97 nucleotides. The record is from RefSeq and is a predicted model, not a curated record. Lineage: Eukaryota; Metazoa; Chordata; Mammalia; Perissodactyla; Rhinocerotidae.